Molecule: non-coding RNA, 45 nt
Organism: Schistosoma haematobium
Lineage: Eukaryota; Metazoa; Platyhelminthes; Trematoda; Strigeidida; Schistosomatidae
Source: Rfam
AUCCAACUCACCAGUCCCAAACAGAACGAAACGCGCGUCCUGGAU